CAUGGUCUUAGCUUGCUAAGACUGAUGGCGACCGGCGCACGGGUGCGUAACACGUAUGCAACUUGCCUCACAGAGGGGGAUAACCCGUCGAAAGACGGACUAAUACCGCGUACACUCUAUGUUGGGCAUCCAAUGUAGAGGAAAUGAAAUUCGCUGUGAGAUAGGCAUGCGUCCCAUUAGCUAGUUGGUGAGGUAGCGGCUCACCAAGGCGACGAUGGGUAGGGGAACUGAGAGGUUGAACCCCCACACUGGUACUGAGACACGGACCAGACUCCUACGGGAGGCAGCAGUGAGGAAUAUUGGUCAAUGGGCGAGAGCCUGAACCAGCCAAGUCGCGUGAAGGAUGACUGUCUUAUGGAUUGUAAACUUCUUUUAUACGGGAAUAACAAGAGCCACGUGUGGCUCCCUGCAUGUACCGUAUGAAUAAGCAUCGGCUAACUCCGUGCCAGCAGCCGCGGUAAUACGGAGGAUGCGAGCGUUAUCCGGAUUUAUUGGGUUUAAAGGGUGCGUAGGCGGCCUGUUAAGUCAGCGGUGAAAUCUAGGAGCUUAACUCCUAAAUUGCCAUUGAUACUGGCGGGCUUGAGUGUAGAUGAGGUAGGCGGAAUGCGUGGUGUAGCGGUGGAAUGCAUAGAUAUCACGCAGAACUCCGAUUGCGAAGGCAGCUUACUAAGGUACAACUGACGCUGAAGCACGAAAGCGUGGGUAUCAAACAGGAUUAGAUACCCUGGUAGUCCACGCAGUAAACGAUGAUAACUGGGCGUAUGCGAUAUACAGUAUGCUCCUAA
RNAcentral lists this ribosomal RNA (785 nucleotides) under uncultured Porphyromonadaceae bacterium. RNAcentral's name for it is "bacterial SSU rRNA". It matches the Rfam family "Bacterial small subunit ribosomal RNA", at positions 70 to 850 of the family's 1533-position model. The record is from RNAcentral. Lineage: Bacteria; Pseudomonadati; Bacteroidota; Bacteroidia; Bacteroidales; Porphyromonadaceae.